ACGUCAAAUCAUCAUGCCCCUUAUGUCCUGGGCUACACACGUGCUACAAUGGCCGGCACAGCGAGAGGCAAGGCCGCGAGGCGGAGCGAAUCUCAAAAACCGGUCCCAGUUCGGAUCGCGGGCUGCAACCCGCCCGCGUGAAGCCGGAGUUGCUAGUAAUCGCGGAUCAGCACGCCGCGGUGAAUGCGUUCCCGGGUCUU
This 200-nucleotide ribosomal RNA is filed under the name uncultured prokaryote. Its description in RNAcentral is "partial 16S ribosomal RNA". It matches the Rfam family "Bacterial small subunit ribosomal RNA", at positions 1182 to 1382 of the family's 1533-position model. The record is from RNAcentral.